GACGAACGCUGGCGGCGUGCCUAACACAUGCAAGUGGAGCGACGAACCAGGCUUCGGCCUGGGGCAGAGCCGCGAACGGGUGAGUAACACGUGGGUAACCUGCCCUGAUGAUUGGGACAACCCGAGGAAACUCGGGCUAAUACCAAAUGUGCCCUCCGACCAUAAGGUCGCUGGGGAAAGGAAGCUUCGGCCUCCGCAUCGGGAUGGGCCCGCGGCCCAUUAGCUUGUUGGUGAGGUAAUGGCUCACCAAGGCAACGAUGGGUAGCUGGUCUGAGAGGACGAUCAGCCACACUGGGACUGAGACACGGCCCAGACUCCUACGGGAGGCAGCAGUGGGGAAUCUUGCGCAAUGCGCGAAAGCGUGACGCAGCAACGCC
Molecule: ribosomal RNA, 377 nt
Filed under: uncultured bacterium
Lineage: Bacteria
Description: bacterial SSU rRNA
Rfam family: Bacterial small subunit ribosomal RNA
Source: RNAcentral